This is a long non-coding RNA of Homo sapiens (human), 1883 nucleotides long. The record is from Ensembl. NCBI's taxonomy places the organism in Eukaryota, Metazoa, Chordata, Mammalia, Primates, Hominidae.
ACAGAGAGAACAGGCAGUGGAGAAGGAGCUGUUUCUCCCCAACCACAUGCAUCUGCAAGAGUGAGGAGUGGAACAGGCAGAGCCAGAGAACAGCAGAGUUGAGGUUUUCCAAGGAGGUACAUGCAGCAGAAUAUGCAAGAGAUUCGAGUGUGUCCAGAGGAAUUUAUCCUAACAAUUGACCAUGGAAGGUGACCAGAUGGGUGUGAAGAUAGUGUCUUGCAAUGUCGCCCAGGCUGGAGUGCAGUGGUGCCCCUCCUGUUGUGAAUGGACAGAGUCCUGAGCAAGGAAACCUAGAAGGGAGAGAGGAAUACCAUGGAAUUGAGUCCUGUCUGGUAGCACUGACAGACACAGUGGCCAGCCACCCUCAUGCCACCCUGUCCUGCCAUGGGAAGGAACAGCAGCUCUAGAGUUCCUAUGGGAACUCUCUUUCCUUCUCACUGAACUCUAGCUUCAUCAAUAACUCAGUGCCUCUGGCCAAGUUUUUAGCCUCUGGGACAACAUCCACUAUAUCCAUAUGAGGCACUCAUGUAACACGGUGAUUAAGAGUACAGAUGCUGAAGCCAGCAGCCUAAGUCUGAAUCCUGACUGCCAAUUAUUAAUAUAAGUUGUGGAACCAUGGUCAAGUUACUCAACCUCUUUAUGCCUCUGUCUCCUGGUCUACGAAAUGAAGCUUUGAAUCUGCUGUUAUUAAGUUGCUGGUGCUGAAAUAACACUUAUUAUUUAUGAUCUAACUGAAAUGGGAACACUGGAAACUUCUUUGAAACUGAAGAAAAAAAUGAAAAAGAAGUUUUUACAAUCAAAACUGCCAUGAAGACUGCUUUACCCAAAAUUUUGGUCCACAGCUUUCAUUGAAUUACUUAUCAGGGCAAACAAAGUUUAGCCAUGUGAACACGUUCCAAUUUUGUUGGAAAUAAUUUGGAUCCAGCUAUCUUUAUACAAUGGUGAGUUCGUAUUGCAUCUCAUGGCUAAAAUACUGAGGUAAAGGCUUUUGGAUCUUUGUGUGUGUGUGUGUGCAUGUGACAAAAACAAGCAAUGGGGAAAGGAGUCCCUAUUUAAUAAAUGGUGUUGGGAGAACUGGCUAGCCAUAUGCAGAAAGUUGAAACUGGAGCCCCUCCUUAUACCAUAUACAAAAAUCAACUCAAGAUGAAUUAAAGACUUAAAUGUAAAAACCCAAACUAUAAAAACCCUAGAAGAAAAUCUAGGCAAUACCAUUCAGGACAUGGGCACAGGCAAAUAUUUCAUGACAAAGAUGCCAAAAGCAGUAGCAACAAAAGCAAAAAUUGACAAAUGGAAUCUAAUUAAACUAAAGAGCUUCUGUACAGCAAAGAAAUUAUCAUCAGAGUGAACAGACAGCUUACAGCAUGGGAGAAAAUUUUUGCAGUAUAUCCAUCUGACAAAGGUCUAAUAUUCAGCAUCUACAAGGAACUUAAACAAAUUUACAAGAAAAAAAAACAACGCCAUUAAAAAAUGGGCAAAGGACGUGGACAGACACUUCUCAAAAGAAGAAAUUUAUGUGGGCAAUGAACAUUUUUUUUAAAAAAGCUCAACACCACUGAUCAUUAGAGAAAUGCACAUGAAAACCACAAUGAGAUACCAUCUCACACCAGUCAGAAUGGCUAUUACUUAAAGGUCAAAAAACAACAGAUGAUAGCAAGGUUGUGAAGAAAAAUGAACACUUUUAUACGUUGGUUGGAGUAUAAAUUAGUUCUACCCUUGUCGAAGACAGUGUGGUGAUUCCUCAAAGACCUAGGGGAAGAAAUAUCAUUUGACCCAGCAAUCUCAUUACUGGGUAUAUACCCAGAGGAAUAUAAAUCAUUCUAUUAUAAAGAUACAUGUGCAUGUUCAUUGCAAAAUAGCAAAAACAUGGAAUCAACCUAAAUGCU